Molecule: long non-coding RNA, 635 nt
Filed under: Mus musculus (house mouse)
Lineage: Eukaryota; Metazoa; Chordata; Mammalia; Rodentia; Muridae
Description: predicted gene 44732
Source: RNAcentral
CGGGGCUCACCGGAGAUGAGAGGCCCCGACAGCUUCUUGAUCGCACCGUUCGCAUUGGCCGCAGCAGUCCCGGGUGCAGGACGUCCUGGAAUCCCCGAGAGAGGCUGGUCCUUCAGCUCCUGGCCGCGCUGCUCUUGAUUCUCGUCCUGCUCCUCGACCGGCUCCCCAUUCUGCUCCUCGACCGGCUCCGCACCCUGCUCCUCGACCGGCUCCGCGCCCUGCUCCUCCUCCGGCUCCUCGUCCUUCUCCUCGACCGGCUCUGCGCCCUGCUCCUCGCCCUGCUCAGAGACCGGCUCAGUUCCCAGCUCAUCACCCGGCUCAGCACCCGACUCCUCGCCCUGCUCAGAGACCUGCUCAGGGACCUGUUCCUCGCCGUCCCGAGUCGCCACGUCCGGGUUCGCGUCCGGGAUCGGGUCCGGAGUCGGGUCGGAGGUCGCGACCAGGGUCACCUCCGGAAUUGGGUCUGAGACGACCAGGGCCUCGAAGAGGCACAUCCUGCUGGAAGUUGAAGUCCCAGCGGUUCUGGUCCUCGGCGUUCAGCUCGGCCAGGCGCAUCCGCAGCUCGCGGCCCAGCUCCUCGUGGUCUACAGGCCCGAAGAGGCUGCGGCAGGCGCUGCUACGCGCUAUCACUGGGA